UAGCAAUCGCGGCGAAAUCGGAACUGGGUGACUAAGACCGAUUGGAUGAUGUGAGGAGCAUUUUGGUUUAUCCGGCCAGGCGGCUUAGGGGAUUGCCGCCAUCCUAAGCCUGGCCGGUUGGCUAAA
Molecule: non-coding RNA, 126 nt
Submitted as: unclassified sequences
Source: Rfam